Molecule: transfer RNA, 71 nt
Filed under: Myotis davidii
Lineage: Eukaryota; Metazoa; Chordata; Mammalia; Chiroptera; Vespertilionidae
Rfam family: tRNA
About the family: Transfer RNA (tRNA) molecules are approximately 80 nucleotides in length. Their secondary structure includes four short double-helical elements and three loops (D, anti-codon, and T loops). Further hydrogen bonds mediate the characteristic L-shaped molecular structure. tRNAs have two regions of fundamental functional importance: the anti-codon, which is responsible for specific mRNA codon recognition, and the 3' end, to which the tRNAs corresponding amino acid is attached (by aminoacyl-tRNA synthetases). tRNAs cope with the degeneracy of the genetic code in two manners: having more than one tRNA (with a specific anti-codon) for a particular amino acid; and 'wobble' base-pairing, i.e. permitting non-standard base-pairing at the 3rd anti-codon position.
Source: Rfam by way of RNAcentral
GCCAGCAUGGCUCAGUGGUUGAGCAUCAGGCUAUGAACCAGGAGGUCAUGGUUUGAUUCCUAGUCAGGGCA